Molecule: ribosomal RNA, 750 nt
Filed under: uncultured bacterium
Lineage: Bacteria
Description: bacterial SSU rRNA
Rfam family: Bacterial small subunit ribosomal RNA
Source: RNAcentral
GGGGAGCAUUACAUGCAGUCGAGGGGCAUCGGGAGGGAAGCUUGCUUUCCUUGCCGGCGACCGGCGCACGGGUGAGUCCUUGUAUGCAACCUGCCCUCUUCAGGGGGACAACCUUCCGAAAGGGAGGCUAAUCCCGCGUAUAUCGGUUUCGGGCAUCCGGGAUCGAGGAAAGAUUCAUCGGAAGAGGAUGGGCAUGCGGCGCAUUAGCUUGACGGCGGGGUAACGGCCCACCGUGGCGACGAUGCGUAGGGGUUCUGAGAGGAAGGUCCCCCACACUGGUACUGAGACACGGACCAGACUCCUACGGGAGGCAGCAGUGGGGAAUAUUGGUCAAUGGGAGAGAUCCUGAACCAGCCAAGCCGCGUGAGGGAAGACGGCCCUAUGGGUUGUAAACCUCUUUUGUCGGAGAACAAAACCCGGGACGUGUCCCGGACUGCGUGUAUCCGAAGAAAAAGCAUCGGCUAACUCCGUGCCAGCAGCCGCGGUAAUACGGAGGAUGCGAGCGUUAUCCGGAUUUAUUGGGUUUAAAGGGUGCGUAGGCGGUCCGUUAAGUCAGCGGUAAAAUUGCGGGGCUCAACCCCGUCGAGCCGUUGAAACUGGCAGACUUGAGUUGGCGAGAAGUACGCGGAAUGCGCGGUGUAGCGGUGAAAUGCAUAGAUAUCGCGCAGAACCCCGAUUGCGAAGGCAGCGUACCGGCGCCAGACUGACGCUGAGGCACGAAAGCGUGGGGAUCGAACAGGAUUAGAUACC